Non-coding RNA from Pelobates cultripes (western spadefoot toad), 436 nucleotides. The record is from the annotation of a GenBank genome assembly. Lineage: Eukaryota; Metazoa; Chordata; Amphibia; Anura; Pelobatidae.
GGAAUGCAUCGGGAAAGAGGUAAGGGUGAGGUGGCAGUCUCCAGCUGAAGGUCCUAGAAUAACAAACCAAUAAAAAAUCUAAGGUACACACAGCUUUCACCAGUGUACACCGACCAGACUUGUCCAGUAUACAUUAGAAUAAAUCAAUGGGAAUUGCAGAGAAUACAUUUACAAUGUGAAUGCGGGAAGAACAUAUAACAAAUGCUGAUAGUAUUAGAUGUAUACAGGAUUGCAGGAGUUCAUAUGAGGAUACAAAAAAAUGGGCUCAUGGGUAGAGCAGAGAAAUUAAGCAAAAUCUAUUGUUAAUUUAUGCUCCCAAGAUGCGUUUUGCAAAAUUCGCAAAAGAUGUAAAAGUUUCAAUGCCGCGAUCAUAGAAUCCUUGAAAUUACACCACUGUUUUACAGCAGGAUGCUGGCGGCAAAUCUCUUCUGCAUGG